GGUAGAUGAACCUUGCCAGUUCUCCUGUCCUGGCUGCCCUCUCUUGUUUCAGAUUUUGUGAUGGACUGGAAGACUUAGACCCAGAAUCUGACACCAAAGCCUGAUGAAACAUGAGGCAGUGCCUGGCCACCGAACCUGCCCCCAGAGCAGGUGGCUAAAGGCAGGAAAUAAAGAGGAUGCUGAGCUUUUCAUCACUCCGAAGAUGCUCUUGCCUGUGAUAGGAACGAUGGCUACAUCUGAAGCUGAGCAAAUUUAUCUUUUCUGUUCGUCUGCAUCAGGGUGACCUCUGGAAGGAAAAAAUGGAAGGAACUACAGAUGGAAGAAAGGAAAGAGGAGAAAGAGAAUAAGGUCUCUGUUUAUGGGCACCUCUGUUGGGUGAAGAUUGAGGAGAAACAUCGUGGAUUCUGAUUGUGACUUGACUGAGGUGAAACGCGUUCUUUAUCAG
This 445-nucleotide long non-coding RNA is filed under the name Piliocolobus tephrosceles (Ugandan red Colobus). Its description in RNAcentral is "lncRNA (ENSPTEG00000038561.1)". Lineage: Eukaryota; Metazoa; Chordata; Mammalia; Primates; Cercopithecidae. The record is from RNAcentral.